GACCAAUAAGAUGUGAGGAUAAAUCUGCUGGGGGACUUAAGCGAAAGGGCUCUUUUCCUUUCAAGAGCUCAUAGGGAGAAGAGGCAGAAUGCUCUUCCUUUGGACACUGUCGUGUUUGCCGGUGAUUCCUGGGAUUACGGCAGCUAUUGCCAAGAAGGGCGUCAACCCCAGAGCAGAAUAGAAAAGUGGAGGAUGGCAGAGACAGGUGGUGAGAAGGACCUUCCUUUAUAUGACGUCUUUGCCUGUUGGAGCCACUUUCAUUUUAGGACUGGGUGGUACUUUUUCUCACGAUCUUUCAUCAUAAGAGCAGAUGUCCGCCAUGCAGACAGAGAAUCAAGAAGACAAGCCUAAACAGGGCCCAUAAGUUCUUCUACCAGAAUCAGAAGGUGGAGGACCAGGCUGACGUGUCCUCCCCACUCUCCCGUUGAGGGGCUUCAGUCUCUCUAGGCCCAUCUGUGACUUAAGUCAGAUUUCCAUGGACUAUAUUCUAUUUUUAAGUCCUGUGUUUUCUGAUUGAGAAGCUGCUUUGAAUGAGAUCUCUACCUGUAUAGUUAUGUUACUCUGUGAAUGAAAAAUUUUAUUUACACGUCCA
This is a long non-coding RNA of Bos taurus (domestic cattle), 592 nucleotides long. The record is from Ensembl. Lineage: Eukaryota; Metazoa; Chordata; Mammalia; Artiodactyla; Bovidae.